RNAcentral lists this transfer RNA (73 nucleotides) under Salmo salar (Atlantic salmon). It matches the Rfam family "tRNA". From Rfam's summary of the family: Transfer RNA (tRNA) molecules are approximately 80 nucleotides in length. Their secondary structure includes four short double-helical elements and three loops (D, anti-codon, and T loops). Lineage: Eukaryota; Metazoa; Chordata; Actinopteri; Salmoniformes; Salmonidae. The record is from Rfam by way of RNAcentral.
GUCCCUGUGGCUCAGUUGGUAGAGCAUGGUGUUUGUAACGCCAGGGUUGUGGGUUCGAUUCCCACGGGGGGCC